This 365-nucleotide ribosomal RNA is filed under the name Francisella tularensis. RNAcentral describes it as "bacterial SSU rRNA". It matches the Rfam family "Bacterial small subunit ribosomal RNA", at positions 1 to 372 of the family's 1533-position model. The record is from RNAcentral. Lineage: Bacteria; Pseudomonadati; Pseudomonadota; Gammaproteobacteria; Thiotrichales; Francisellaceae.
UUAAACUGAAGAGUUUGAUCCUGGCUCAGAUUGAACGCUGGUGGCAUGCUUAACACAUGCAAGUCGAACGGUAACAGGUCUUAGGAUGCUGACGAGUGGCGGACGGGUGAGUAACGCGUAGGAAUCUGCCCAUUUGAGGGGGAUACCAGUUGGAAACGACUGUUAAUACCGCAUAAUAUCUGUGGAUUAAAGGUGGCUUUCGGGCUGUCGCAGAUGGAUGAGCCUGCGUUGGAUUAGCUAGUUGGUGGGGUAAGGGCCCACCAAGGCUACGAUCCAUAGCUGAUUUGAGAGGAUGAUCAGCCACAUUGGGACUGAGACACGGCCCAAACUCCUACGGGAGGCAGCAGUGGGGAAUAUUGGACAAU